Molecule: ribosomal RNA, 722 nt
Filed under: uncultured archaeon
Lineage: Archaea
Description: bacterial SSU rRNA
Rfam family: Archaeal small subunit ribosomal RNA
Source: RNAcentral
CGGAUAGGAGACGAUUUCUGGAAUGAUUCAUCUCUGAAAGCUAGCGUUAGGAUGGGGCUGCGGCUGAUUAGGUAGUUGGCGGGGUAAAGGCCCACCAAGCCGAUGAUCAGUAAGGGCUCUUAGCGGAGAGGCCCUGAGAGGGAAUCUGAGACACUAUUCCCAGCCCUACGGGGUGCAGCAGUCGGGAAACUUUUGCAAUGCGCGCAAGCGUGACAGAGCAAGCCAGAGUGCUUUCCUAAUAAUUGGAAAGCUUUUGUGAGAUGUAAAAAGUCUCACGAAUAAGGACCGGGCAAGACUGGUGCCAGCCGCCGCGGUAAUACCAGCGGUCCAAGUCGCAAUCACAUUUAUUGGGUCUAAAACAUCCGUAGCUUGCCAGGUCAGUCUCUUGUGAAAUCCUGCCUCUUAAGGGUAGAAGGGCAAGAGAUACUGCCUGGCUAGAAACCGGGAGACGUAAGAAGUACGGUCAGGGUAGCGGUAAAAUGCGUUGAUCCUUUCUGGACUAACAACAGCGAAGGCAUCUUACGAGAACGGAUUUGACAGUGAGGGAUGAAGGCUAGGGGCGCAAAACGGAUUAGAUACCCGUGUAGUCCUAGCAGUAAACACUGCACACUAAACAUUGGGGCCUCUUCGAGAGGUUUCAGUGCUGUAGGGAAGCCGUAGAGUGUGCUACCUGGGGAGUAUAGUCGCAAGGCCGAAACUUAAAGGAAUUGGCGGGGGAGCAC